RNAcentral lists this ribosomal RNA (1471 nucleotides) under metagenome. Its description in RNAcentral is "bacterial SSU rRNA". It matches the Rfam family "Bacterial small subunit ribosomal RNA". The record is from RNAcentral.
AGAGUUUGAUCCUGGCUCAGAUUGAACGCUGCGGCAUGCCUUACACAUGCAAGUCGAACGGCAGCACGGGAGUAAUCCUGGUGGCGAGUGGCGAACGGGUGAGUAAUAUAUCGGAACGUGCCCAGUCGUGGGGGAUGACGCAGCGAAAGCUGUGCUAAUACCGCAUACGAUCUACGGAUGAAAGCGGGGGAUCGCAAGACCUCGCGCGAUUGGAGCGGCCGAUAUCAGAUUAGCUAGUUGGUGGGGUAAAGGCCCACCAAGGCGACGAUCUGUAGCUGGUCUGAGAGGACGACCAGCCACACUGGAACUGAGACACGGUCCAGACUCCUACGGGAGGCAGCAGUGGGGAAUUUUGGACAAUGGGCGAAAGCCUGAUCCAGCAAUGCCGCGUGCAGGAUGAAGGCCUUCGGGUUGUAAACUGCUUUUGUACGGAACGAAACGGCCCUUUCUAAUAAAGGGGGCUAAUGACGGUACCGUAAGAAUAAGCACCGGCUAACUACGUGCCAGCAGCCGCGGUAAUACGUAGGGUGCGAGCGUUAAUCGGAAUUACUGGGCGUAAAGCGUGCGCAGGCGGUUAUAUAAGACAGAUGUGAAAUCCCCGGGCUCAACCUGGGACCUGCAUUUGUGACUGUAUAGCUAGAGUACGGUAGAGGGGGAUGGAAUUCCGCGUGUAGCAGUGAAAUGCGUAGAUAUGCGGAGGAACACCGAUGGCGAAGGCAAUCCCCUGGACCUGUACUGACGCUCAUGCACGAAAGCGUGGGGAGCAAACAGGAUUAGAUACCCUGGUAGUCCACGCCCUAAACGAUGUCAACUGGUUGUUGGGUCUUCACUGACUCAGUAACGAAGCUAACGCGUGAAGUUGACCGCCUGGGGAGUACGGCCGCAAGAUUGAAACUCAAAGGAAUUGACGGGGACCCGCACAAGCGGUGGAUGAUGUGGUUUAAUUCGAUGCAACGCGAAAAACCUUACCCACCUUUGACAUGUACGGAACUCGCCAGAGAUGGCUUGGUGCUCGAAAGAGAGCCGUAACACAGGUGCUGCAUGGCUGUCGUCAGCUCGUGUCGUGAGAUGUUGGGUUAAGUCCCGCAACGAGCGCAACCCUUGUCAUUAGUUGCUACAUUCAGUUGGGCACUCUAAUGAGACUGCCGGUGACAAGCCGGAGGAAGGUGGGGAUGACGUCAAGUCCUCAUGGCCCUUAUAGGUGGGGCUACACACGUCAUACAAUGGCUGGUACAAAGGGUUGCCAACCCGCGAGGGGGAGCUAAUCCCAUAAAGCCAGUCGUAGUCCGGAUCGUAGUCUGCAACUCGACUACGUGAAGUCGGAAUCGCUAGUAAUCGUGGAUCAGAAUGUCACGGUGAAUACGUUCCCGGGUCUUGUACACACCGCCCGUCACACCAUGGGAGCGGGUUCUGCCAGAAGUAGUUAGCCUAACCGCAAGGGGGGCGAUUACCACGGCAGGGUUCGUGACUG